Long non-coding RNA from Calliphora vicina (urban bluebottle blowfly), 306 nucleotides. RefSeq lists it as uncharacterized. NCBI's taxonomy places the organism in Eukaryota, Metazoa, Arthropoda, Insecta, Diptera, Calliphoridae. The transcript is spliced from 3 exons. The record is from RefSeq and is a predicted model, not a curated record.
UUAAACUAAACAGCUGUUAAUAACAAUAACAAACAGAGAACAUUUAUAUCACAGAAUGUUAACGAAUUCCCCUAUGGGAGCCUGGGAGUGUUUCCCUGUAGAAAUCCGGUAGUAUAAGCUGAACGGGAUCGUCGUUGUCAAUUAAUUGGUUCAAAAUACCUAUUGGAGACAGUGUAUUUUCAUGGAGAGCUAAAUUAUCAGCAAAUUUCCUCUGGAGCCGUAAGGCGUAUUUGCAGAGUGGUACCACAGCAGAUUGUCCAUAAAUGUAUGUAUUAGAAAAUCGUUUUGUAUAGCUUUGAAAAUUCC